ACUGCGCUUCCGUCGCACAGAGCCUGACGAAGGCUUGGGCUCCCCGCGCGGUGACCGUCGAGGUGACCUGCACCUGGCUCCAUGGCGGAACCGGCCGGCACGGAUUAUUCCCCUCUCGGGAGAGGUCUGCAGCCGGGCCUCAGUGCUUCAGUUCGUGGCCUGGCAUUUUGUGUCAGUGUUUUUUAACCUUUGGACCCUAGUUCAACCGACUCCGAGACCUAGGGGACAGAUCUUAAGUUUUACAAUAACCCAGGGGUCAGACAGGGUCUGAUCUAGCCUGUGGGGCAAGUACGGGGAAGACACGGGACCUCUUGGAGGGGGUCAGUAGGCUUGUAGGGGGAAAGACGCACACAGAGACUAAAGGACGAGAUGGAGCAAGGUUCAACCCCCUAGCUGAGUGUUGGCAGUGUCGGGAUUUUAACGAAGACAUUGGUGCUUAUUAUGGUGAGGGGACUCAGGACAGUUUAGGGGAAGAGAGUGGCAUUUGAGUCCUAACUCGUAAGGAAGACUGGGUAGGACUACUUGAAAAUAACUUUUAAAAAUUAAUUAUAAAGCUGGUAAAAAUAGGAAAACAUCUAUGGCCCCACUGUCCAAAGACGACUUUUAACUUCUUGGAGAAUAUCCUUUCAGAUAGUUGUCUUUGUAAAUGUAUACUUUUAAUGUUUUUUCGUUUGCCUUUUUAAAAUAAAUUUUUUGGGGGACAGGGUCUUGCUCUGUUACCCAGGCUGUAGUGCAGUAGAACGAUUAUAGCUCAUUGCAACCCGGACGUCCUGGGUUCAAGCUAUCCUCACCUCUCAGCCUCUCGACUGGCUAGGACCACAGCCUCGAGCCAUCAUGUCUGGCUAAUUUUUACGUUUUUUUGUAGAGAUGGGGGUCUCGCUGUGUUGUCCAGGCUGGUCUUAAACUCCUUGCUUCAACAGAUCCUCCCACUCCAGCCUCCCAAAAUGUGAUUACAGGCUGAGUCACCACGCCUAGCAUGGUUUUUUUUGUUUUGUUUGUUUUGUAAGCAAAAUUGACAUACAUACUGGAGGUACAAUUCUGUAGCUGGCCUUCUUUACAGAGUUUAGAAUAAAUGUCUUUCCAUGUCAAGUUUUCACUUACAUCCUUUGUAGUAGUUGCAAAAUAUUCCAUUUUAUAGCUGUAUCUUAAUUGUGGAUUAAGGUUGGAGUGCAGUGGCACUAUCAUGGCUUAGUCCAGCCUCAGCCUUCUAGGUUCAAGCGAUCUUCCCACCUCAGCCUCCCAAGAAGCUGGGACUACAGGGACCCGCCACCCCACCUAGCUAAUUAAAAAAAAAAUUGUAGAGAUGGAGUCUCAGUGUGUAGCCCAGUCUCAAGUGACCCUCCCUCGUUGGCUUCCCAAAGCGCUGAGAUUGCAGGUGAGCCACUGUACUUGGACUUUUUUUUUUUUUUUUGCUUUUGUUUGUUUUUUGUUUUAGCUAUUACAAUGCUGGUUGAAUAUCCUCAUAGCUAAAUAUCUGUGCAGUUUUAAAAUUUCCUUAUAAGUUACUAGAAAUGGAAUGACUGGGUUAAAGGACAUGAUCAUUUUUUAAGACUCUUGAUACAUACUUACAAAUUGCCUCCCGAAAAAGUGGUGCUAAUUUACUCAAAUUGGUAAGCCUCACCCCCUCUGUGGAUCAUUCCUUGCACUAAGUUUCUUCCAACUCUGUCACCUCCAGCUUUUUACUCACAGCCUACCUUCCAAUCUGGGGCCCAGCUCCCAGAUCGGAAGAUACCAGACUUUGGUAUUGAACCAAAGUCCAAUACACUGCACUGGCAUUCAGAGUCCCUUUUUAUUCCGCAGCUGUCAUAGUGAAGCUUGCAGCUUCCUUGAAAUUCCAGUUUGUUUAUUUCUUUAUUUUUUUGAGACAGAGUCUUGCUCUAUCGCCCAGGCUGGAGUGCAGUGGCGCCGUCUCAGCUCACUGCAACCUCUGCCUCCUGGUUCAAGCGAUUCUUCUGCCUCAGCCUCCCGAGUAGCUGGGAUUACAGGCAUGCACCACCACACGUGGCUAAUUUUUGUGCUUUUAGUAGAGAUGGGGUUUCACCAUGUUGGCCAGGCUGGUCUCAAACUCCUGACCUCAAGCGAUCCGCCCACCUCAGCCUCCCAAAGUGCUGGGAUUAUAGGCAUGAGCCAUUGCACCCAGCCAAAAUUCCAGUUUGAAUGUUAUAAUUCAGGGGUCUUGGACUCCUGCUCUAGAGAAAUUAUUCAUGUUAAGUUAGGGGUAACACAGUACAGGCCAUAUAAGUUUUAGAAAAAGCAGUUUAAAACUUAGCAUUAGAAAACAUAAGUACUGCCUGGUGAAAUGGCACGUGCCUAUAAUCCCAGCUACUCAGGAGGCUGAGGCAGGAGGAUCCCUUGAGCCCAGGAGUUCAAGUCCAGCCUGGGCAAUAUAGUCUAGUGGCCACAUUAAAAAAAGUAAAACAGCCGGGCGCGGUGGCUCACGCCUGUAAUCCCAGCACUUUGGGAGGCCGAGGCGGGUGGAUCACGAGGUCAGGAGAUUGAGACCAUCCUGGCUAACACGGUGAAACCCUGUCUCCACUAAAAAUACAAAAAAUUCUCCGGGUGUGGUGGUGGGCGCCUGUGGUCCCAGCUACUCAGGAGGCUGAGGCAGGAGAAUGGUGUGAGCCUGGGAGGCGGAGCUUGCAGUGAGCCGAGAUCGCGCCACUGCACUCCAGCCUGGGCGACAGAGCGAGACUCUGUCUCAAAAAAAAAAAAAAAAAAAAAAAAAAAGUAAAACAGGGCAGGGUGCAGUGGCUCACGCCUGUAAUCCUAGCACUUUGGGAGGCCGAGAUGGGUGGAUCAGUUGAGGUCAGGAGUUUGAGACCAGCCUGGCCAACAUGGCGAAACCCCAUCUCUACUAAAAAUACAAAAAUUAGCUGGGUGUGAUGGUGCGUGCCUGUAGUCCCAGCUACUCAGGAGGCUGAGGCAGGAGGAUCGUUUGAACUCGGGAGCUGGAGGUUGCAGUGAGCCGAGAUUGAGCCACAGCACUCCAGGCUGUGCUACAGUGUGAGACUGUCUCAAAAAAAAGUAAAACAGAUGAAACUAAUUUUAAUAACAUUUUAUUUAUUCAAACAAUAUAUUCAAAAUAUUAUUUCAACUUGUGAUUGAUAAAAUACUAAUGAGAUAUUUUAUAUUUUUUCUCCAGUACUGUCUUCAAAAUCCAGGGUAUAUUUUUCAGUUAGCAGCACAUUUCAAUUCAGACCAGCCGCAUUUCAAGUGCUCAGCAGCCACCUGUGGCUAGUGGCCACAGUAUUGGCCAGUGUAGCCCAAGGAUAUCUCAAAUUAUCUCAAAGCUAGAUCAGUGAUUAAAGGAUUCUCAGGCCAGGCAUGGUAGUUUUCAGGCCUGGUAUGGUGGUUUACGCCUGUAAUCCCCGCACUUUGGGAGGCCUAGGUGGGCGGAUGGCUUGAGCCCAGGAGUUUGAGACCAGCCUAGCCAACGUGGGGAGACCCUGUCUCUACCAAAGCACAAAAAUUAGCUGGGCAUGGUGAUGCGCACCUGUGGUCUCAAGUACUUUGUGUGAGGUGGGAGGAUCACUUGAGCCCGGGAGGUUGAGGCUGCAGUGAGCUGAGAUUGCACAACUGCACUCCAGCCUGGGUGACAGAAUGAGACCCUGUCUCAAAAAAAAAAAAGGAUUCUCCGAAAGACUGGCGAUUGCUUUUUAAGCUAUAAGGAAGGCCUUUGAAGGGAAAUCAAGUAGGAAGAGGAUGAUAGCUGGCUCACAUGUCCUUGCCACAUGGGAGGUGAGAGAGCAGGCUACUCCUUACCACCCCCGCUUUCUCUGCCCUGCUGCUGUCUUGCCCCUGUGCAAGUAGGCAAUGGGAGAGGAAUAGUAUAUAUAAAUUGGGCAAGUGCUAGGGGCUGGAGUGAUGGUUGGGGAAAGUAUCUGACCCUUGUUUUCUACUUUCUUUAGCUUGUGGGGUAUUUAACAAUUCUUUGUUCUUAGUUUUGAGUGCUGGCAACCAUUUCUGGGGUGACAGGAAAAGUUCCAUGACAUCCGUAUUAGAGCAUUUGUUUCAUUAUAUUGUAAUUUUUUAUGUUUACUUUUGAAAAAGUUCAUUCUUUUCUCUUUUUAAUUCUUAUUCUUUUUUUUUUCUUUUCUUUUUGAGGCAGGGUUUUACUCUAUCACCCAGGCUGGAGUGCAGUGGCACAAUCUUGGCUCACUGCAACCUCUGCCUCCUGAGCUCGUGAUUCAUCCUCCUGAGUAGCUGGGACUACAGGUGUACACUACCAUGUGUAGCUAAAUUUUUUGUAUUUUUUGUAGAGAUGGGGUUUUGCCAUGUUGCCAGGCUGGUCUCGAACUCCUGCAAUUUGCUCUCCUUGGCCUCACGAAAUGCUGGGAUUACAGGCAUAAGCUACAGCACCCAGCCCUUACGUUUACUUUUCAUUGACAGGAAGAGUGUCUUCAUCUCUGCAUCCCUAGUGCAACAGAGCAUGACAAAAAUUCAACAAAUAUUUAUUGAAGAGUCUUGAUGUCUUUUGGGAAAGGAACUCUAUGGUUACCUUUACUCUAAGGUAAAGAAAUUUAGGUCCUGAACUUUAACCACCUUCUCCUCUUCUUUCUUCCCUCUUUCAUAAAUGAGCUCUUGGAAAAUUAAAAUGCCAGGAGGGUCCAGCAGAGAAUACCCAAGCCCACAUGUCCUGAUGGGAAGUGGGGGAUAAGUAGAGAGGGAAACACAGACCCUGUAGGCCAUCUCACUGCUGCUGGCCCAGGGGACCCUAACUCCUUUUGUUGACUCAUCAGAAGUAGAAUCCUCCUGAGGGUCUGUUUAAGAAGCACAGCUCUGGUAGAAAGGGUAGCUUUCCUAUGGGUACGGAGGGCUCUGCUACCCCAGGGCUAUCCACACUGGCCUGUGAAUCACUCUCAAAUGCUUAGGGUCACGGGCUUUCAGUGGAAUGAGCCCUCAUGUGCCACCAGGGGGCACCAAGGCCACAGAAAACCCUAUUCAGAAGGUUCUGGGGUGAGGGAAAGGAAUCCACGGGUUUGUGGAGCUGGCGGAGCAUGGGUGAGGACAGCAUUAUGCUAGGUUGGUGGCCUUGAAGUCAGAUGUAAAUUGGGAUCCUGGCUUGGCCACUGACUAUCCAUGGGAACUUUGAAUCUCAGGGGGCUCAUUUGUGAUGUGGGGGUACCAUUAUCUGCCUCAUCAGGUUGUGGGGAGGAUUAUAUGAGAUACCUUAUGUAAGAGGGGCUGGUGCAUUGUGGAAGUCAACAAGUAAGUUUUGUUAAAUUUGAGUAAGAAGACCUGUUUGUUUCCUCAAGUUGCUUAUAAUCUAGGUGAGGACACAUCUGAGAGAAUAACUAAUAGUUCAGUGAAGGUAAGAGCCAAAUGAUUGGCACAGACCUCAAGUGGUCUGGCAUUUACGGGAGAGGGGGAUUGUGAAACAGGAAUUGAAAGAAAUUUAAAAAUGCAUAAGCAAAAACUCAGUUUAUGUUUUAAAAAAACCAAUUCCCCCUGAGAAAGAGAAAGAGGUGGAGUCCUUUAAAAAUUAUCUGCUUGUUUUUCUGUCUGUGGCUAGUGAGCCUUAUCUCUCCCUUUCCCAGGCAUUGUGAAGACCCUGUUUCUCUAGCUGUGCAGCUGCAAGGUCACUAGGCAGAUAAACUCAAGCCAUAAAACAUGUUUUUCCUUGAAAAGUAAGAAAUAAUGUAAUGCAUGUGUCAAAUGAAUAACUAUUUCUCGCUUCUGUAAUAUGCUUCCCUUCGCACAGAUCUCCCCCUGCCCCAUGAAAUGCUUUAAAGGUAACUUAACUCUUUGUUCGGGGCUCAGUCCUUUGGAUGUUAAUCUGACUGGCUUGGUGCACCUAAAUAAUAAAUAACAUAUAUCCUCCUCAACCCCUCAGUCUCUCUGAUUCCUAAAUUAUCCCGCUGUAAUUGCAGGGCUAGAUUUGCCGACCUGCUUUAUAAAGCUAUGUUAAAUCAGUAUAUUUUAUUCUUUUUAUUAGACUUUUCUAUAGCAUAAAAAUGAUAAAAUACAGCAAGAAAAAAAGUCACCUGAAACUCUAGUCCUAACCCUAAUAUGAAUGUGAAGGAGCUGGGCUAGAAUGGAAUAGGGUAGAAUUUGCAUAAGGUGGAAAUGGGGACAGGCCUGUCACAAGGAUCACUAGAGUCUUGCUGGCAAAAGCAUCUUACUGCAUUCAUGCUGCAGCACAGGACCCAGAUGCAGAACAGGUUGGGGACACAGCCCUGCCUUCUAAUAGUGGACACCAUCUGAGAGCUGAGCCAUAGAUUCAAAGCCUAACUCCUAAUAGCGAUUGGUAGUAAUAUCAUCAGCAGUUCAUAUACAUGGAGUGACAACAGCGUGCCAGGCAAUUCAAAGGGUCUCUCGGUCCUCACAGCAUUUUUGAAGUAGCUAACAUCACUAUCCCCCUUUUACAGUUAAAAACAACAACAACAACAACAAAAACACAAAACCCUGAGGCUCAGAAGAUAAAUAUUUGCUGAAGAUCACUGUGCUUGUAAGUGGUGGAGCCUGACCAUUAACUUCCCCACGACACUGCUUCAAUUUCUAUCACUUCAUCAACCACACAACCCGAGAACUGUGAGGGGAUUUAGCAGGCCCAGUCCAGAUCUCUUAUUGUACAGAGAAGAAAUCUGAGGCUCAGAGAGGGGAAGGGACUAAUUUGGACCUUUAACUUCGGAUUCUUAACUUUCUUUCUGGUGUUCUAACUAUACUGUACUACAAGAGGCUGUCUUAGAGCUUUAGUUCAACCAGCUUCAGAGAUACUCAUUGUUAUGGGUUGAAUUAUGUCUCCCCAAAAUUCAUAUGUCAAAGUUCUAACCCCCAGUACCUCAGAAUGUGACCAUAUUUGGAGAUAGGACCUUUACAGAGGUAAUCAGGUGAAAAUGAGGUUGUUAGGGUGGGCCUUAGUCCAGUAUGGCUGGUGUCCUCAUAAAAAGGGGAAAUUUGGACACAGAUGUACAUAGAGGGAAGAUGGUGUGAAGAGACAUAAAGAACAGAUAGUCAUCUAUAGCCAAGGCCUGGAACAGAUCCUUCCCUAACAGCCCUCAGAAGGAAGCAACCUCACUGACACCUUGAUUUUGGACUGCUACCCUCUGGCACUGUGAGACAAUAAAUUCAUGUUGGUUAGGCCACCCAGUUUGUUAUGGCAGCCCUAGGAAACCUUUGUGGAUAUAUCUGUUCGUAUACCCAUAAAGUCUGCAAGUCAAAAAUAUCACAGACUUUUGGCAGCCCUUCAUUCAAGCACUGGCUGGGAGGGUCACCCUCCCCGAGGCAAAAGGAUAGAGCAAAUGAUCUUUCCAGCUUGCUCCCAACCUUGAUCUUUGGCCAAGAUAUUUUUCUUUCACUGGACAUUGGCCAACAUUGGUGUCAUAACUUAAUUUGACUGUGACCUUCUUGAGUCUUUUAUGUCUCUGAGCUUGACCUGUAGAAGAAGCUCAAUAAAUGUGGGUAGAGGGGAUGAGUGGGAAAAUCAGCUCCCAGCCAUUCCAGUUCAAGCCUCUUCAAGCAGAAGAGUCCCACCUGAAAGACCUCAUUUUCACUUGAUUACUCGAUCUCCAAGCAAUAGGUGGGGCAGGAAGCAGGGUAUGUAAGGCCUGUCAGUGGAUGGAAGUUGAAGUUGGACACCAUCUCCUAAAGUUUAGAGCUGAGCCCAAAUUCUGGAAAACACAAGCAAAAUACAUUUUAUAUGACUCAGGAUGGGCUAAAGAAGUUCCAGUACAGGAAACUGUUUUCCUGCUGCUUUAUUAAUUUUGCUACAGAGGAUAAAUGAGAUGCAGACUUUCAUAUCCAAGUCUUCAUUAGAUGCCCAGUUAAUGCAGCCAUGACAAAUGGGAAUGAAGCCCUUAUGAAUAAAAAAAAGAUCAACCCAGUAUAAAAAAAUCAUAGACCAGAGAAAUGAAAAUUUAGAGGAGCUGAUAAAAUACCCUAUCCUUAAUUAGACUGUCAGCAUACACAUCAAAUCAGCCUUAAUGCCAAGAUUUAUUGGCCUUGGAAUUGGGUAAAUGAAAUAAGUGCUUACAAAUGAAUGGAAAAGAAAUUACCUGUAUUAAAACGUAUUUGUGAUGCAGGCCUGUGCACUGAGGGUUUUAGUCAAACUCAGGCUUGCAGCUUCUUUUGCUCUGCAUCCAUUUCCACCCCAUGUUCCCCAGUGGGUUUCAGAGACCCUCUUUGUGGGGUAACAAUAUGUACCAUUGUCAACUACCUCUGCUGUUGUCCUGGAAAAAUCCUUCUUGGACAGUAAAAUAUUUUUGUCUUUAUUUCACCAUCUCCAGAUUAGAUGGGUGUUACUGAUUCUUACCUCAGAGAAGAGAAUGUCAUGGAGACAAAAUGACCUGCUUAGAGUUCUGCACCCCCCAGCAUGGAGAGCAGAGCGCAAAGAUUUCUUCCGGACUCCCACAUUCCCCUUGGAAUCCAAGAACUGGUCUACUGUCACAACACUUUAGUACCCUCUUGUAAGCCUGUGGACAAAUCCUCUGAUGCCUUGAUACCUCGGUUUUCCCCCACUAUAAAUGGGAAGAUAAAUUCACUAGAAACAGUACUUACCUUGCAGUGUCAUUAUGAGAAUUUCAUGAGACAAUGCAAUAUAAAGCUCCUAGCACAGUUCCAGGCACCAUUGUAAGCACUGAACAAAUGAAAGCUGUUGUCAUUAGGAUCUCAAGAAAUGACAGCUGAGGCAAAUGUGGAUUAGACUGCAUUCAGCAUUCUUAGCUGCAAGCAACAGAAGCUGACGCUGGUUUAAAGAAUAGGAAAGGAAGUUAAUUAAAAUGACAUUGGGUAGCUUGUGGAACUGGGAGGACUAGAGAGCUCAGUCUAAGUUCUAGUGACAAAGCUUCAAAUCAUACAUGAGGAAAAUGCCCCUCUGCAGGAGGAACGUAAUCCUGCAAUCACUGCUUCCCCUGAAGCCAGAUGCCUCUACUGCUGCCCUUCCCAGCAGUGAUGGAGCCUGGAUCACAUACCUGGCUUUAGUUGUAAAGGAGGCUGGAGAGAAAAUGCUCUGCUCUAUGUAACUGUCUUGAAAGUGGCCCACACAUAGCAAAGCCAUUCAAAAGCGGGUGAGCAGCAUGAAAGCAUCCAGAAGGAUUCUUGCUUUGCAUGAGGGAGAACUCUUGCUCCCAGAGUGUGAGACCAGCAGGGGCAUUUUCCUCAUGUGUGAUUAGAAGCUUUGUCACUAGAAGCUUAGACUGAGUAGGACACCUCUGAGUGUGAAUGUCCUACCUGAGUUCUGCCUCAUGCAAAGCAAGAAUCCCUCUGGAGGGAUUGACACCACAGCCUCUUCCACAAUGUCUCCAAACAACUUUACUGGGCAGCAUUCCACUCCUUGACAAACGGGAGAGGUGCAUUCUACCUUCUCUCCUGCAUGAGCCUAGACUAAUAUGGAAUUUGGGAGUGUUGAUCAUUGUACUUUGUGCUCCUAGAGAUAAGGGUCAUCAUAAAGCAUCUCAGAGUCUCACUGUAGAUCCACAGUUCCAUUUCUUUAUGGAUCCCUUACCCCUACUUUGCCAAAUUCUAUGCAGAUAGCAAUAAUAAUUCAGACAGGGCUUCCUCACUGAAGGAGUUUGUGCUCUAUAUAGUUAAUAAGCUAGAGAUAAUGAAAAAAAAAAAAACUCAACUUGAACUUUGGGUAAGAGAAACUUUUCAGACCAACGAUCAUUACCAAUAACAGCUUCCACGCAUGACCCUGCCCGGAGAUUGGGGCCUGCACUACUGUUUCCAGGAAACACAUUCUUUUGAAUUUUUUUAUUUUCUUUGUAGAGAUGGGGAUCUCACUCUGUUGCCCAGGCUGGUCUCAAACUCCUGGCUUCAAGCAAUCCUCCUGCUUCGGCCUCCCAAACUUCUGGGAUUACAGAUAUGAGCCACCACGGCUGGCUGACAGGCACCAAAUUCUAGGAGAGGACUUGAAUAGAGUAGGCAUCUGUCUCUCCCCAUUCCUUUCAGGGACAGAGCUCUCCUGGUUGGGAGAAAGGGAGAGGGAGAGGGAGGAGGAUGAAUAGUGAAGCACCAAACCUCAGAAUUAAGGCCUUUUUCUUUUCUUUCUUUCUUUCUUUUUUUUUUUUGAGAUGGAGUUUCGCUCUUGUUGCCCAGGCUGGAGUGCAAUGGCACAAUCUCGGCUCACCGCAACCUCUGCCUCCCAGGUUCAAGCGAUUCUCCUGCCUCAGCCUCCCGAGUAGCUGGGAUUACAGGCAUGCGCCACCACACCCAGUUAACUUUUUUGUAUUUUUAGAGACGGGGUUUCUCCAUGUUGGUCAAGCUGGUCUCGAACUCCCGACCUCAGGUGCUCUGCCCGACUUAGCCUCCCAAAGUGCUAGGAUUACAGGCGUGAGCCACCAUGCCCAGCCAGAAUCAGGGCCUUUUUAAAACUUCAGUGUCUUGUCUUUACCCUUCAUGGUGCCUAGAAAAGCAUCUGGCUCAUAGGUGUUCAGUGAAUGAUUGUUUCAUUAGUGAAGAAAUUCCCUUUGGAAAUCUCAUAGGAAACUUACCCUCUCCAACCCUUCACCUGUGCAUUAUUCCAGCUCCCAAGGAGGCAGCAGAAACUGGGGUAAUCACAACGGUCAACAGCAGCAAAGGCAGCACUUUCUGAUUUACUUGACUGCUAUGGAUGCCACCUCUCUCCACGCCUCAGUUUAAUAUCUGUAAGUUUGGUCAGUAUCUCAUUCAAGAACAUUGCAUUUACUCUGGUACUUAAAGAUGAAAAAUCAACAUUUACAAAGCAGAUCCAUUGUCAACCUAAAUAACAAACAAAGAGAGUCUCUAUAAAAGAAAAGAAUAUUUAUUUGGGAAUAGAGCAUUGCAUAGGAAUAUGCCUGCCUUAGUAAUGCAUGUAUUCAGGGAGGUAGAGGAAGACAAAGGUUUUUAACAGAAAAAAUGUGGAGAAUUACAUAAUUGUUUUGAAAUAAUUAUCCUUGGCUAUAAAGAUCAAUAACAAGGGUGAUGCGAGUCCAAGGUUGGACAGGCAGUUGCUGGGCAGAUGUCUUUGCAGAAGUCUUUUUUGUGUAAGGUUGUAAUGGCUUUUGUAGGAGGUUGUGGCUUUUGCAAUCUUUUGUGAUAGCUUUUGUUACCAGGCAUACAAGCAUGAGAAUGCUCUCUUCAGGGCCUUCCCUAGCUCUAUUUAUCAGGGGUUUCUUGUUAGUGAUUCCAUUUUGAUUCUGACAACUUUCAUGGACAUUAUCUCAUUUAAUCUCACAGUCAUUCCAUGACUCUAUCCCCAUUUUGUGAAUGAAGUAACUGAGGUCUGGAGAGGUCAACUAACUGGUCAAGGUCAUAGAACUUGAAAAUUUUCAUUGUCUUGGGUCUCUAAUACUGGGGCUGACCAUUCUCCCAGGCAAUGUUGAGUGAGUUGGCCCAGGUGAGUCGGCUCCUCUGCAAUUGUGUCUCCUCAACUAGUUUGAACAACACAGGCCUGUGAGCCAGUCCCAUAAAGUGGCUAGGGGUUCCCUUCUCCCCAUUUCCCCUCAUCAACAGGAGGACUUGUCUGUGUGCCUUCAGACACCACACAGUAAAUCAACUGCCACAUUCAUUCUGGACCAUCAGUAUUUUGCCCCAGGAGAAAGUCAGAGGCAAGCACACUAAUAUCUCAUUGAUAUUUUCAAUUGCCAAAGGGGAAGUGAGAUGAAUCUAAUCCCAUCUGUCAAGGUGGAGAAGAGCUGAUUCGAAAGCAGCAUAGAUUACUUUAAGGAGAUGACAGUUUAUCACUCUCUGGACAAGGGAAUAUGAAAUGAGGACUAACCUCCUUUAUGAGUUGGUAAAAACAUUGAUCAGCAAAGACAAUGUCUGGGGAAAUGAACAGCAAGUUCUCUGGCCCUUUUUCCACUUUUCCUUUCCCCGAGACUUUAUGUUAUAUAUACACACUCACACAAACAGGACAGAAUCCACCUCCUGCCCCUCAAGAAAUAGUUAACAUUUGUUGAGGAUUAAUUAUUGCCAGGCUCUGUACUCCAUGUUUUAUAUUUACUAUCCAGAAGCCUUAAUUGUUAAAUGAGGUAAGUGUUAUUAUUAGAACCUUUGUACAGAUGUGGAAACUGAGGUGUAUAGAGGUUGACUUGCCCAAGGUUACCCAGCUAGUGAAGAAUGAAAUCAGAUGCAGUCCAGCCAACGCUUGGCCUGCCGUCAGUCACACGCAGUACACGUAGAUCAGUCAGCCUGGAAAGCCACCUAGACAGCCCUGCUUCACUCCAUCCUUGGUCAGCACCUUAGAGAGCCCUGCUGACCCCAAGAGGAUGUGCCUUUUACGGGUUGUAGAGGCUGAACCACAGCUGAGGGGCUGGAAUGAGUGGGGGCCUCAGACAGGGUGUCUGGAGAGCUGAGGCUCAAGGAAGGGUGGAGGGGGUGCUGAAGCUGAAGGCCGUGGGUCUUGCCAGCAAGUGGGGCUCAGUGAGCCGAGGUGCCUCUCAGUUACUUCCAUGUGUGAAUUUCCGGUGGAGGACAGUGAUGGGCUCUGGGCCCUUGGAAACCGGGACAUCCAGCGUGUCCAGCCACAGUGCAGGCUGCCCUGGCUGCUGAGAGUCUCAGAAAAUGCCACUGUCAUGGGUUAGGAAGGCCUGGGGACCACAACAAUGUGACUUCAAAAAACCCAAGAAGGAAUGUGCACACCUGAGAUGCUCAGAAUGCAUGUGUCAGUGUUCAGUUCUGACUCCUUGCUUCAGCCAGGGACAGAAGAACCUUCUACAGUAAAGAACCACAAGAGAGGGCUUUGCUGCCAGCCUCAGCCAGGGACACUUGGCGGCCAAAGCAAAGGUCACUCCAGGGCUGCAGAUUUCAGCCUCUGCGGCCAGAAACAAGCUUCCCAAUUAAUAAUACUCUGGAUCGGACAGAGAUGGCUGCUCUGUCUCAGGCGUGUUUGCCGUUGAUCCCUGUGAUUGAUGCUGAUAACAUUAAGAGUCUGUCAGGGUGAUAUUUCAUGAAUGUCUCAUGUGAUGGGAUGAUACAGUCGGGAAAUGCAAUUCCCUAGCUCAGGCAGAAUCAGAGAUGACCCAAAGUGCUGAUGGAAAGGCUGAGGCCCUUUCCAGCCUCUGGCAGGGUAGGGAAAGCGGGUGAGGUGGGGGCUUGGGAGGGGCUGGGCUGACCUAGAGCUGUAACAGGGGUCUCUCAUGAAGGGCUGUGAAGAGAAACAGUAUGUGAGAGAGGCAAGAAACUUUUCUCUGGGUUUCCUCAUGUAGAAUGAUUCCAUCUGUGUAGGCCAUGAAGGAGUCCAGGGAAGUUCACCCCAAAAUGUUGAAACCACCUUUGCAAAGAUUAUGACAGUGAGAGAAGCCUGGCAUGGCUGACUCUAUCUUGCUUCUAGCCUCACAGGCUGGCUGUUCUGUCUCAUUCCUGGGCAUAGGCCAAGCUAAUCUUGGGAGGGAUUUAUGGUUUAACUUUGAAGCCAGGAUCAUAAUUGUCCCUCCCUAAAACUGACCCCUUUCUUGUUCAGGGACUGAAACUGCCUUUGUAAGACUAAUGAAAGGCCACAAAAUUAGGAUUAUGGAAGGGGCCUGAAUUCUGAUAAGAUGUAGGCAUAGCUUGCCUUUCUGUCAUCGUUUAUUGCACUGGCACUCACAAGAUUUGUAACUUCCCCAAUUGGUCCCAUAGAUAACAUCACUAUUGUAGAACCUCAGAUUGGUCUUUUGAGAUCUUUUUCAGACUUUGGUAUUCUGGUGACUGACUCCACCCAGAUCCCAUGACUCAUGACUCAGCUGGUCCUGUGGUUCUUACCCAGUCUGACACAGCACCAGAGGACCGUUUUCCACACUUCUAUCUAUGAUUUCAUCCCCAACCAAUCAGCACCACCCAUUCCCUAGCCCCCUGCCCACCAAAUUGAUAUCCAUAAAAACCCUAACCUCUGAGUUCUCAGAGAAACUGAUUGGAGUAAUAAACUCCUGUCUUCUGUGUGGCUAGCCUUAUGUUAAUUAAACUCUUUCUUAGGGCAGUACUGCUGUCAGUGAAUCAGCUUUAUCUGUGCAGUGGGCAAGAAGGACCCACUGGGUGACUACAAUAUGGCACUUUGGUAUGUUGGUUAUUUUAAGUUAGAGGCCUUUGAUGCUGGAAGAAGCUUUACUCUGAUAUCUCCUUAUCUACCACAAGACUGGAUCUGCCAAAGAGAACACAAUUGCGUUCCAUUCCCUUCCUGAAAUCUCAUUAUCUAUGGCAGAAAAGAAGACUGGGGAAUGUAAUACACAGUAUUACACAGUAAUGUAACAUACUACACAGUAUUUACACAAAACAUGUAACACAGAAUGUACUACACAGUAUUUUCACAAAACAAUAUCUGUCUCUCCAACUCAUUCAAAUUCUAAAGAGUCAUUUACACGUCAAUUUGUGUCUUCUACGCCCAUUCAUUCUCCCUAAGAAUCAUUUACUACUCCUCAAAAGAAUUACCAACAUUCUCCAUCUCCCACUCCCCUAUGAGGAAGGGUAUAUAAGUUUCUGUCUGGAUCUCAUUAGAUGACUGUGUGAUCGUGCUUCUAUGAUCCCUACCCCACAUGUUAAAUGAAUUUUGUAUGCCUUUUUCUUUUAUCAAUCUGCCUUUUGUUAGGGUAUUUUCAGUGGACCUUCAGAAGGCAAAGGGGGAGCUUUCCUUCUUUGACCCUACAGCUAUUAGACUUGAUUGAGUAAGACACACAAUAAUGAAAGUAAAUAAGAAGAAAAACAUUCAUCCUGCUGUCUCCAGAGUUUGAAAUGUCUGCCUCAAACUUCGAUUUCUAUCUACCAAAAAUUCAUGCAUUAAUCAUAAGGCCGAUCUCAAAAGUGAAUUUUUUUUUUUUUUUGAGAAGGAGUCUCACUCUGUUGCCUAGGCUGGAGUGCAGUGGCACAAUCUCAGCUCACUGCAACCUCUGCCUCCUGGGUUCAAGCGAUUCUCCUGCCUCAGCCUCCCAAGUAGCUGGGACUACAGGCACGUGCCGCCAAGCCUGGCUAAUUUUUAUAUUUUUAGUACAGACGGGGUUUCACCAUAUUGGCCAGGCUGGUCUCAAACUCCUGACCUCAAGUGAUCCACCCACCUCUGCCUCCCAAAGUGCUGGGAUUACAGGCGUGAGCCACCGCGCCUGGACGUGAAAAGUUUUUUGAAUUCCCCCAUUAGAAAUGAUCUUCACCCUGACUCCCAUAACACUUUGUACAUUACUGUAAAAGCAUAAUAUUCAAAUAUUUACAAUAUACCUCCUUCAAAUAUAAAAUGGACACAUGCCGAAGACUUAGCAACUCAUGAAGGAGGGAACCAAUAAUGUAGUUAAGCUAAUUCAAAGAGCAUUUUGAGGAAAUGAAUACUUAUGGUCAUUUAAAAGGAAAUGUUAAAAUUUCUAGGUUAAAAAUAAAACUUGCCAUUGCAUAUAUGGUCAAAUGAUUUUUGACAAGGGUGCCAAGACCAUUCCAUGGGGAAAACACAGUCUUUUCAACAAAUCGUGUUGGGAAAACUAGAUAUCCAUGUUCAAAAGAAUGAACCCUUACCUUACCUUCCACCAUAUACAAAAAUUAACUCAAAAUGGAUCAAAGACUUAAGCAUAAGAGCUAAAAUUAUAAAAUUCUUAGAAGAAAACAUAGGGAAAAAGGUCCAUGGUAUUAUAUUUGACAAUGACUUUUUUUUUUUUUUUUGAGGCAAGAUUUCACUCUGUCACCCUGGCUGGAGUUCAAUGCAGUGGCACAAUCUCAGCUCACUGCAACCUCCACCUUUCAGGCUCAAGCAAUCCCCCUACCUCAGCCCCUAAGUAGCUGAGACUACAGGCAUGCACCACCAAGCACAGCUAAUUUUUGUAUUUUUGUACAGAGUUUCGCCAUGUUGCCCAGGCUGGUCUCGAACUCCUGAGCUCAAGCUAUUCACCUGCCUCAGCCUCCCAAAGUGUUGGGAUUACAGGUGUGAGCCACUGUGCCCAGCCCUGACCCCCACAUUUUUAAACAAAGCUUCUCUUCCAUAAUCAAUUGCAAAUCAGAAGAUCUUUGAAUCUAUCUGCAGCCUGCAAGCCCCCUAUUCAAGACAUCCCACCCUUUUAAACUUAAGCCAAUGUGUAACCUCCUGGCAAUCAAUUUUGCAAUUUAUGAUUUUGCCUGUAGCUUCUGCUGUUCUGAAAUUUAUUCCUGCCUCUAAAAAUCCUUGCCGGCAAGCCACUGGGGAGGCUAGGUUUUGAGCACUUAGCUGUCUGGUCUUCCUUACUUAGUGCUCUGCAAUAAACACCUUCCUUUCUAUCACCACAAAAUCCUGGGUGUGGGUAUCUGGUUUUACUGUGUUGGGUGAGCAGACCUCAGUUUGGUUCUGUUACAAGUCCCUGCUCCAUCUCACUUGCUACAACAUGAAUGAAACUUGAGGACAUUAUGCAAAAUGAAAUAAGCCAGUCACAAAAAGACAAAUACUGUAUUAUUCCACUUAUAUGAGGUACUUAUGAUAGACAAAAUCAUCAAGACAGAAGGUAUGAUGGUUGCCAGGGGUUGAGGGAAGACAAAAUAGGGAGUUAUUGUUUAAUGGUUGAGAAGUUUCAGUUUUGCAAGAUGAAAAGUGUUCUGGAGAUGGAUGGUGGUGAUGGUUGCAUGACAUAAAUGUGCUUAAUACCACUGAACUGUUCUUAACUCCGCUGAAAUAUGGUUAAGAUGGCCCGGGUGCAGUGGCUCAUGCCUGUAAUCCUAACACUUUGGAACGCCGAGGCGGGCAGAUCACCUGAGAUCAGGAGUUCGAGACCAGCCUGACCAAUAUGGCGAAACCCAGUCUCCACUAAAAAUACAAAAAUUAGCGAGGUGUGGUGGUGCGCACCUGUAAUUCAAGCCACUUGGGAGGCUGAGGCAGGAGAAUUUUCUGAAUCCAGGAUGCAGAGGUUGCAGUGUACUGAGAUCGCACCACUGCACUCCAGCCUGAGCAACAGAGCAAGACUCCAUCUCAAAAAAAAAAAAAAGGUUAAGAUGGUAAACUUUGUACCAAUUAAAAAACAAAGCUGGCUAACACCCUACAGGGCA
This 16860-nucleotide long non-coding RNA is filed under the name Homo sapiens (human). RNAcentral describes it as "HSALNT0294590". Lineage: Eukaryota; Metazoa; Chordata; Mammalia; Primates; Hominidae. The record is from RNAcentral.